Molecule: transfer RNA, 82 nt
Filed under: Candidatus Omnitrophota bacterium
Lineage: Bacteria; Pseudomonadati; Candidatus Omnitrophota
Description: tRNA-Leu
Rfam family: tRNA
About the family: Transfer RNA (tRNA) molecules are approximately 80 nucleotides in length.
Source: RNAcentral
GCGCGGGUGGCGGAAUUGGUAGACGCGCACGUUUGAGGGGCGUGUGGGGAAACCCAUGAGGGUUCAAGUCCCUCCCCGCGCA